This 570-nucleotide ribosomal RNA is filed under the name uncultured bacterium. Its description in RNAcentral is "bacterial SSU rRNA". It matches the Rfam family "Bacterial small subunit ribosomal RNA", at positions 338 to 917 of the family's 1533-position model. The record is from RNAcentral.
CCUACGGGAGGCAGCAGUGGGGGAUCUUGCGCUAAUGCGCGAAAGCGUGACGCAGCGACGCCGCGUGGGGGAUGAAGGCCUUCGGGUUGUAAACCCCUUUCGGCAGGGACGAAGGGAAACUGACGGUACCUGCAGAAGAAGUCCCGGCUAACUACGUGCCAGCAGCCGCGGUAACACGUAGGGGACGAGCGUUGUCCGGAUUCAUUGGGCGUAAAGCGCGCGUAGGCAGCUCGGAAAGUCGGUCGUGAAAUGCCGGGGCUCAACCCCGGGACUGCGUCCGAUACUUCCGGGCUGGAGGUAGGUAGGGGAGAUCGGAAUUCCUGGUGUAGCGGUGAAAUGCGCAGAUAUCAGGAGGAACACCGGUGGCGAAGGCGGAUCUCUGGGCCUUGCCUGACGCUGAGGCGCGAAAGCUAGGGGAGCGAACAGGAUUAGAUACCCUGGUAGUCCUAGCCGUAAACGUUGGGUGCUAGGUGUGGGCGGACAUCGACCCCGUCCGUGCCGAAGCUAACGCAUUAAGCACCCCGCCUGGGGAGUACGGCCGCAAGGCUAAAACUCAAAGGAAUUGACGGA